This is a non-coding RNA of Leisingera methylohalidivorans DSM 14336, 353 nucleotides long. The record is from Rfam. Lineage: Bacteria; Pseudomonadati; Pseudomonadota; Alphaproteobacteria; Rhodobacterales; Roseobacteraceae.
CCCCUUUGCAACCCGAAAGAAGCAGACUAUAUAGCCACUGUUCCCUUGUGGAACUAUGGACAUAAACGCGCUCGUAAUAAGCGGAUCGGACCCGGGGGCGGUACCCGGCGACUCCACCAAACAUCCUUCAUUUGGGGAUCAUGGGGUCGAAACAGGAUCGACGGACGUCUAAAGGGGUUAGCUUUGUCUCGGCGGGGUGCCACCGUACCGGCCCAAACAGUACAAUUGCAAAUGACAAUCGUGCUCCGGCAAUGGCUCUGGCUGCGUAAGCAGUUCGAGUCGCCGAAACUAAGUCCUUGCGCCUAGCAGUGUAAGGCGGGGUUCGCAGGUACCUGGCAACAGAAACCUGCACU